Molecule: ribosomal RNA, 320 nt
Filed under: uncultured bacterium
Lineage: Bacteria
Description: bacterial SSU rRNA
Rfam family: Bacterial small subunit ribosomal RNA
Source: RNAcentral
UGACGGUACCUGACUAAGAAGCCCCGGCUAACUACGUGCCAGCAGCCGCGGUAAUACGUAGGGGGCAAGCGUUAUCCGGAUUUACUGGGUGUAAAGGGAGCGUAGACGGCUGUGCAAGUCUGAAGUGAAAUCCGCGGGCUCAACCCGUGAACUGCUCUGGAAACUGCAUAGCUAGAGUGCAGGAGGGGUAAGUGGAAUUCCUAGUGUAGCGGUGAAAUGCGUAGAUAUUAGGAGGAACACCAGUGGCGAAGGCGGCUUACUGGACUGUAACUGACGUUGAGGCUCGAAAGCGUGGGGAGCAAACAGGAUUAGAUACCCUG